CUGGGGUCAGCUUUCGGCUUAUGUAUAUCACCGGGUGUUCCUCGCCGUUGUGGCCCUGGGAUAGAAUGGCUCCCAACCCGGUUCCGACGUGAGGGCUGUCUAUAUCCACUGGAAGCCGCCUCUGUCUCAGGGGUCCAAGGGAUCUUCUCCGGCUGCCCCUUCCUGGUCAGGUCUGUCAGGGGAGAAGCUAAGGAGAAGUUAGGGAUAAAGCAGUGGUAGUAACCCGCCAACCCCAAAAAGGCCCGUAUCUGAGUCUUGGAGGCAGGCCGCGGCGCGGAGAGGAUAGCUGCCACCUUCUUCUCUUGAGGUCUUAUCAGGGCGCGACCCACCUGGCAGCCGCGUGUGCUUGGUGCGGCCGCAGGAGGACAUCCAUCAGUUGCUGGAAGGUGGCCAGGGCCCCGUGGGGUUGAGAAGGCCGUUUUCGGCUUGGCCUGUUCUGUUAAGGGUACCUGCCAGUAGCCCUUGGUGAGGUCAAGGGUCGAGAUAAACUGGGCCCUUCCGAGGCGAUCCAGCAGCUCGUCAACCCGGGGCAUCGGGUAGCCGUCGAACUCAGAGACUUUAUUUAGGCGGUGGAAGUUGUUGCAGAAGUGGAAGGUGCCGUCAGGCUUUGGAACCAUGAUGAUGGGGCUGGACCAUGGGCUGCGUGAUGGUUUGAUGACCCCUAACCUCAACAUCUCCUGUACCUCUUCCUCGAUGGCGUGUCCCGACCCAGCACUUCAGGAGAUUGAUAUGAUAGAGCUGGUCCUCUUUUCUUCUACCUGGCUGCCGCACACGGUAGGUGACGGGGCCGACCUUCUCUGUGAUGGUGUACGGUCCCUGCCAGGUGGCCUAGAAUUUGCAGGCAGCCGUGGGGACCAGGACCAGUAUGUGGUCUCCUCGCUGGAACUCCUGUGGUUGGGCCGCCCGGAUGAUGGGCAUGAUUCGGUCGAUCCGCUCCCGCAUCUGGAUGACCAGAGACAGGGUACAUUUUCAGGUAAUUUUCAUUUUUUAGUGAACUUUUUCUUCAGUGACAGACAAUGUAUCCAUUUAAGAGAAAAGCCCUGAUUAGAGGACGUAAACUCUUGAUAUCUCGCAACCCCAAGCUGAAAAUCUCAUUGAGGCUUAUUACCGAUGUAAGAUAACAGAAAUGUCAAAUGGAAAAUGGAAAUGAAAACAAAAAUAAAAUAAAAAUAAAAUAAUAAUAAUUAGAGAAAAGCAGGAAUUAUGAUCACCAUCAAAAUACAAUGAGUGCAGCCUAUUAUGAAAUCCAAGAUGUUUUUCUUAGCCAAUCCAAAACACUAAUGGUAUCUGUCGAAAACUGGGACACAAAGUGGCAGUCUGCUUCAUUCUCCACAACCCAGUACUUAUAUUUGGCCUACAAGAUUGCAGAAUCACAUUUUGCAAAUUGUGUUUAGCACAAAUUUUGUGGGCACAUUUGUUCCAUAACAUGAUUUGCAUAAAUCCUGUAGUGAAUCAUUCACUCAAACAACACAAACACUAAAUGCAAACAAUGCACACAGGGGAUGGAAUUCAUUCUUAGUGAAUUAAUAUGAGAUUCAAUGAGAUCAGCAAGGCCUGGUUUGCAAUGGUGUACAUAUUUUUUAAUAGCUAAUGUUGAUAUGAUCCAACUUUGUUAUUAGAAUUUAGAUUUUUUUUUUUUAUAUAUAUAUGGGGUUUUCAACCACAAAUACAGCCUGUUCAGUCUGUUUUAUUUGUGUUAAUUAGAAGAUGAUUAAGGUUUAUUGUGUUUUAUUUAGUAGAGGGUACUGUUUGUCACUUUAAUUGAGUUUUAUGUUUAAGCAAUCACAAAAAUCAGUUAGCUUUUUGGUUUUCAUUUUUUGAAUGUGUGCAAAUAUUGCUGUUCCUAACAUUACAGCAUGUACUGUAAAAACAUCAAAUUCGAACACCUUCCACAUGGCAGCUUUCAUAUUUUUUCUUCUUAAAAAAUAAAAAAAAAUAAAAAAAUGAAUGAAUGAAUGAGUGAAUGAACUAAUUAAUUAAUUUAUUUAUUUAUUCACACAUUGUAUUUCGAUUCAGGUAAACAGUUAAAAAUAAGUUAGCUACAGAGACUGUGUUGAUUGAAAGAAGAUACUGCAUUAUUACUAUUAUUAUUAUUAUUAUUAUUUUUAUUAUUUUAGUGUAUUUCAGAAGCAGAUGUACAUGGCAACAUUCCUCCACACAGACAUGCAAUUAUUAAAACAGGUCACAUGCCCUUAAGCAUGUAUGCAUGCUGUUUAUAUAAAUGGACGUCAUGUAUAGGCUACAGCUGCUUCAUUAGCAGAUUAUCUCUACUUACCUGUGAGAUUUGCAGGCAACCUUCUUGGCAUCAGUAAAGUAGUUUGAAACAGGUGCUGCUUGCCAUUGAACCCCACACGUGAACUCUCACGUCUCUCCAAACAAGAAGAUAAACAAGGUAAAAAGUUUUCUCUUCAUUGCAUAGCUUGAUGUUAGCUUGUUGCUAAACCAGCAUACUCUAAAUACAAAUGAUGAGUAAAAGUAUGCACUUUUUAUUGAUAAUUUCCAGUUUAAAAUGGAUAAAAAAGCUUAUUUAUAAUCAAAAUUUCUUAGUUUGCAGCAUUAUAUUUUAAAAUAAUUUUAUAAUACGAUGCAAGCUUCAUAUUCUGUUUUAAGUGCAUGCUUUAAAAAAAAAAAAACUCUGUUUAUAGAUCAUUUUCUUUGUAUUGGGUUUUCCAUGACGAGCACCUGGAUACAUCGUGCUUCAGUGCUGACAGAAAGGUUUCUUUGUACAGUGCUCUGCUUUCAGCAAGUACGCACAGCCUGCAUAAUCAUGAACAAUAUGCAAAAUGUGAUUACAUCUCAGCAUGCUUAACAAUUUCAACUCAACAGCACUUGCCCAAAUGAAAGACUGACAGAAUGGAAAUUUUGUGCCUUGUUUCUUCUCUUGGCUCAGAGAAAUGUGCGUUCAUAAAUAAAAAUGUGCUGCAUUAGUAUGGUAAAAUGUGAAUACUCAGGGUUCAUUUUUUUUAAAAUAACAAGCUGCAGUUACAUGUUAAACACUCUAUUGUAAUGUGCAACCAAGCUGUACAUUGCCAAGAGGUUUUUUUGCUAAAAUAUUUUCAAGUUCUGAAAUCUUUUCUCAGAUGCAUUCAGUGUUAUGAAUGGACAAUUUUUGUUUUGUAAAUAGAUUCAAUUACAUUGGCUGUAAUAAUCAAGUACGAAAUUAGUUCCCACCCAGUGUCCGUUCAAUGCAUAAAACCCUACUACUGGUACCUGGAAAUAAACACAAAUGAAACACCUCAUAU
Molecule: long non-coding RNA, 3242 nt
Organism: Cyprinus carpio carpio
Lineage: Eukaryota; Metazoa; Chordata; Actinopteri; Cypriniformes; Cyprinidae
Source: Ensembl